RNAcentral lists this ribosomal RNA (857 nucleotides) under uncultured bacterium. Its description in RNAcentral is "bacterial SSU rRNA". It matches the Rfam family "Bacterial small subunit ribosomal RNA", at positions 10 to 916 of the family's 1533-position model. The record is from RNAcentral.
AGUUUGAUCCUGGCUCAGAGCGAACGCUGGCGGCAGGCCUAACACAUGCAAGUCGAACGAUCCUUCGGGAUAGUGGCGGACGGGUGAGUAACACGUGGGAACGUGCCUUUUGGUUCGGAAUAACGCAGGGAAACUUGCGCUAAUACCGGAUGAGCCCUACGGGGGAAAGAUUUAUCGCCGAAAGAGCGGCCCGCGUUAGAUUAGCUAGUUGGUGGGGUAAAGGCCCACCAAGGCUACGAUCUAUAGCUGGUCUGAGAGGAUGAUCAGCCACACUGGGACUGAGACACGGCCCAGACUCCUACGGGAGGCAGCAGUGGGGAAUCUUGCGCAAUGGGCGAAAGCCUGACGCAGCCAUGCCGCGUGAAUGAUGAAGGUCUUAGGAUUGUAAAAUUCUUUUAGCAGGGACGAUAAUGACGGUACCUGCAGAAAAAGCCCCGGCUAACUUCGUGCCAGCAGCCGCGGUAAUACGAAGGGGGCUAGCGUUGCUCGGAAUUACUGGGCGUAAAGGGAGCGUAGGCGGGUCGUCAAGUUGGGGGUGAAAGCCCAGGGCUCAACCUUGGAACUGCCUUCAAAACUGACGAUCUAGAGUAUGGAAGAGGUAAGUGGAACUCCGAGUGUAGAGGUGAAAUUCGUAGAUAUUCGGAAGAACACCAGUGGCGAAGGCGACUUACUGGUCCAUGACUGACGCUGAGGCUCGAAAGCGUGGGGAGCAAACAGGAUUAGAUACCCUGGUAGUCCACGCUGUAAACGAUGAUUGCUAGUUGUCGGGCGGCAUGCCGUUCGGUGACGCAGCUAACGCAUUAAGCAAUCCGCCUGGGGAGUACGGUCGCAAGAUUAAAACUCAAAGGAAUUGACGG